RNAcentral lists this ribosomal RNA (281 nucleotides) under uncultured Staphylococcus sp. RNAcentral's name for it is "partial 16S ribosomal RNA". It matches the Rfam family "Bacterial small subunit ribosomal RNA", at positions 81 to 355 of the family's 1533-position model. The record is from RNAcentral. Lineage: Bacteria; Bacillati; Bacillota; Bacilli; Caryophanales; Staphylococcaceae.
CUCCCUUGACGUUAGCGGCGGACGGGUGAGUAACACGUGGGUAACCUACCUAUAAGACUGGGAUAACUUCGGGAAACCGGAGCUAAUACCGGAUAAUAUUUCGAACCGCAUGGUUCGAUAGUGAAAGGUGGUUUUGCUAUCACUUAUAGAUGGACCCGCGCCGUAUUAGCUAGUUGGUAAGGUAACGGCUUACCAAGGCGACGAUACGUAGCCGACCUGAGAGGGUGAUCGGCCACACUGGAACUGAGACACGGUCCAGACUCCUACGGGAGGCAGCAGCC